Phthorimaea operculella (potato tuberworm) is the source of this 78-nucleotide non-coding RNA. Lineage: Eukaryota; Metazoa; Arthropoda; Insecta; Lepidoptera; Gelechiidae. The record is from the annotation of a GenBank genome assembly.
ACAUCGAUAACUCAGUGGCAGAGUGGUGUUGGUGGGGCGUUUACCCAUGCGGCCCGGGUUCGAUUCCCGGUCGAUGCA